Pelobates cultripes (western spadefoot toad) is the source of this 15466-nucleotide non-coding RNA. The record is from the annotation of a GenBank genome assembly. NCBI's taxonomy places the organism in Eukaryota, Metazoa, Chordata, Amphibia, Anura, Pelobatidae.
CAGUGCCUGGAUUAAUCGGAUCUCAGAAUAUCACUUUGAGUAAUAACAGUACAACGAAUACCCUCAGUGUGAACUGGAUAAACCCAGGAGGAAAAGUGGAUAAUUACACAGUAACUCUGAGUGGAGACGUCAAUAGAAAAAUCACAACUAAUUCUACACAAGUGAAUUUCACAGACUUACUGCCAGGCAGAAACUACUCCAUCACUAUACAGACAGUUAGUAGUAACUGCAGCCAGUCAGCAGGUCCAGUGAUAGAGGCAACAUGUGAGUAUGGUGGGAUCAUUGGAGCAGAGCUAUAUAUUUAUGUGGAAACAGCGGAGUACAUACUGUGGUCGCAGGGGUCGAGGCUGCGACCGGGCCCAUCACUCCAGGGACCCCUGUGACCGGGUAUCCAGCGCCAUCAUGUUCUGCGGCCCCGGCCCACGCGGCAAACCGCCGGGGCCGCCGUCCAAGGUGUCCAUCGGGUGGCCCAUGCUGUCAGGGCCAACCGAUAGAUGUGGAUUGUCAGGGGGCCCGGUCAGCGCUGGGCGCUUUAACAACACGACCGGGCCCCCUGUGAUGACAUCACAAGCUGGGAGGAAGUGACCGCUCGUCACUCCUCCCAGCUAACACUGAGAGCCGCGCAGGAGGAAGAACAGGGAGUCAGAGUGGGAACUCUGACUCCCAUCCACCUGAGCCACCACUGGACCCCAGGAAAAGUCACCCUCCUGCACCUUAAAGGUAGGAAACAGGAGGGUGACUUAAACAUUUUGUGUGUGUGUAUGUUUGUAUGUAUGUAUGUAUGUGUGUGCCUGUCUGCAUGUAUGUGUGUCUCUGUUUGUGUGUGUGUCUGCCUCUUUGUAUGUAUGUGUGUGCCUGUCUGUGUAUGUAUGUGUGUCUGUCUGUUUGUGUGUGUGUGUGUCUGUAUGUGUGUAUGUGUGCCUGUCUGUUUUUUAUGUAUGUGUCUUUGUAUGUAUCGUGUGUGUGUCUGUUUGUGUGCAUGUCUGUCUCUCUGUAUGUGUGUGUGUGUGUCUGUAUGUGUGCCUGUCUGUUUGUAUGUAUGUGUCUGUGUGCCUGUAUGUGUGCCUGUCUGUUUGUAUGUAUGUGUCUGUGUGUCUAUAUGUGUGCCUGUCUGUUUGUAUGUAUGUGUCUGUGUGCCUGUCUGUCUGUCGGUCUGUUUGUAUGUGUCUGUGUGUGUCUGUCUGUAUGUAUAUAUGUGUGCCUGUCUGUUUGUAUGUAUGUGUCUGUGUGGGGGGGAAAUGGGGAGGGGGGGGGCCCAUGGAUCAUUUUAGCACCGUUUGUGUGUACGCCACUGUGUGGAAAUCAUACAAAUUGAAUCCUAGUAAACCUUUUAGUAUGAUUUGUAUUCAGAUGCUAAAUUUAGAUUUUUUUUGAAUUUUAGGGGUUAUUCCUUAAGCAGUGGAUCUUGCACAAAACCCGAUUCUAUAACAAUUGUUUAGAUGUGUUUUGACAAUCUAAUUUACAGCAUUAUAAUCAGAGAUUUAUUAACAACUGCAUGGAGGCAGAUGAUAAACCGAAGGCAUCUGAAAGGGUGCAUGCUCACACAUUAUCAAUUACUUGUUUUUUGUAGCAGGGUUAAUUAUGUGGGGGCUGAUCAACAUUUGGUAGCCAGCCACCAUAUGAAAAUAGUAAAAAAAGAAAAAUAAUUAAAUAAUUAAAAAUCUUAUGGAGUCAAUAAAACCCCCAUACUGCUAUUAUGGAGGUUGUAAACCUCCAUAUGCUCCAACUUGCAAACUCCCAUAUGGGGGCUUGUUGCCUAAACCUUACAAAAAUGGUGAUGUGGCCUGCAAAAAAUAAAGUGGGAUGAUAGUCCCACUAAUGCACCCACUCAUGGGUAUCUGGUGGAGGCUACUUUAAAAAUUAAUGGUGCAUGAUGCCGUGUUCCUCCCACCCAUGGGCAGCAGGAGGGGGUCCUAAUAUUAAUACUAAAGGGGCAGGACCUCUUGUCCACUUACUCUGGCCCCCAUCCAUGGGCAGCAGAUGUGGGCACAAAUUAAGUAUAAAAUUAUAGAAAUCGCCCAGGUGGCUAGGGGUGCGAAGUCUUCUUUCUUCUAAUUCCUCUGUUCUUCAGCCCUAAAUAAAAAUCCAGAAUACCCGACACCACUAAUUAAAAUAAAUAAAGGCCUGAUCAGAAAAAAAAAAACUUGAAGGGAUCAAAGCACGUUGCAAAAACAAAUGGAGGGCUCGUCCCAGACUGAACUCAGAUACCGCUGAAAACGCUUAUAUAGGUGUGGAAAGAUUUCCGGUACUUUGCAAUAUGACCACGAGUUCUCUGAUUGGUAGUCUCAAGAGAAUUUCCAGUAGGCAAACAGUUUGGAUUUUGGAAAUAUCCAGGCCCAAAUUUAACAGUUAAAACCAAUGGGGCCAAAUGUAAUUAUUUCACUCCGAAUUCAAUCCAACAGGCAGUGUUUCGUCCGGCUGAUACCCAGACCUAAUUCGAGCCCAUUUGUGAGGUGAUUUACAGUAUCUGCACUUUGAUGAAAUUAAUGAACAGUUUCCAGAUUUUGCAGUAUGAAUAACCUCAUAAAGAAAUGGAUGGUUUAGCCCCAUUCAGUACUUGCUCAUUGUGACAUUAGCGAAUAACCCUGUUUGUUAUUAAAAUAUUGAUUCCUGUAACAAUUUUCUAUAUAUUUUUUAUUUUUUUAUAGAUCCGACCCCGCCAUUUUCUUUAAGCUUAACUAGCAGCGGAACAAACAACAUUUCAUUGUCCUGGGGAGAACCAGUGAAUAUGACCAAUAUAUCAAAAACCUUUAAUAUAACUUACAGCAAUUCUUCAUCCUCUUGGACUGCGACAGUAAACUCAUUAAGUGCCACCCUUCAGAACCUCACAUCUGGGACUAAUUACACAAUCACUGUAGUAACAGUUGGUGCUCGGCAGUAUCAGAGUUCUCCAGUGACCAUAUCAGCGUUCACAAGUAGGUUUACACGGUGAUGUAUUUGUUUUACACUGUGCUAGGCGAGGUCCAGCUGAGUCAAUGCACCCCCCCAGUAUACCCACACAUAACAUAUCAACCUAUAUUUAGCCACUCAUGCAUUAAGUUGUUUGGAUAAAAAGUCGACAUUUUCUUUAAGGUAGUAUGUUUUAAAGUGUGUUCUUCAUUUAUUUUUGUAUUAGGAAAAUUACUAAAAAAAAAAACUUUUUCAAACAUAAUUUUCUUAUAAAAUGAUUUAUAUCCAAAAAUGAUUCGAAUUUGUUAAUGUCACAACUUGGAGCAUAUUUGAAACCUUUAUUUAAAACUUGUUUAUGUGAAUUAGUUAAAAAAAAAUCCUGACAAAUUAAAAAUUUCUACACUCUGCUCUUUUUCUUUAAAACAUAUCUCCUCCAUAUUUUUACUUCUCUUCUCUUCUUUUCUAUUUUCUAUUUCCCCCUCUUCUAGUUCCCUGUGUCUUUUUAUUGGGGAAUAUACUUUCCCUUUUCUCUCUGUCAUUUGGGGUAAAUCCUGAUCUAAAUUUCUAAAUCUUUCAAAACGAAUAGUAUAGUGGAUUUUUUGCAUGCACAAAUCUGUACAGUUUUCGAGGAAAACAUUUCUUUUAUAUCAUUCUGCACUAUAAGGAAACAGAUUCCGCCAAAUAACUAGACAGUACUGGUAUUGCUAAGGAAUACAGUUGAAUGCAACUAGUAGUAACUGGAAUAUAUAAUUACAAAGAAUGCCCUCGAAAAAUAAUAAGAAAGUCAAACAAGGAGCCGUCUGUUGGCUCGAUUGUAUCUGUUUCUGACAAUAUAAUCCUUGUCACAGGAUAUUAGCUGAAGAAUCACAAAAAGGUAUUUGUAGCAACAUUGGUACGUCUUACAUUAUCUUCACAGCAUACGCAUCUCACAUGGAAUACAUAAAAAGGGGAUCCAACAGUGCAACUCAAUAGUGCAACUCACCCAGUGUGUAUAUAAAAAGAGAAUACAAUGCACUCACAAAUAAAGAGCUUCCAAUUCAGCUCUUAGUAAGAUCUUAAAGUGGUAUGAUCCCUGCUAACGCAUAUAACUUGUAAAGGAUGUUUCUCCGUAUUUUCCAAUGGGUAUAUAGUAAUAGAUGGAAAAAAAGGAGAAUAGUGCUCUCUAUUUGUAUUGGAAAAUACAAUGUGUAAUUAAAAGUAAAUUGUACUCACAUUUAAAGGAGCAUAUACAUGCUCGUUGAAAUCAGCGUGGGUGGUACAAUCCCCACCUGGGAUAUCUAAGUAGAUAAAAUGCUGUGCUAUCAGCAGGUAUUUUCCAAGAAUGAUAAAAUAAUCAAGGAUAAAAUAAAAUAAAAAGCGGGACCAAAUAAAAUUAAAUAUGUUGAACAGCAAAAUCCACUUAAAUUAAAAUUUAAAAUUACAUUAUUUAUUUAAAAAAAAUAAAUAUAUAUAUAAUUUAAAAUUUUAAGUCAAGUGGAUUCCAUUGUUGCUUUUAUCUAUUGUACAGUGUUGCAGAAUAGGUUGGCGCUAUAUAAAUAAUUGUAAUUGUCAUGAACUAAGCUAUAACUUAUAAUAAAUCACGUUUUAUUUUCUCGCUCUAGAACCGAACGCAGUGAAACUCCCCAGAGACAAUGGCAAAACAUCAUAUUCUGUUUCCCUGAUGUGGGAUCAACCUGACGAGUACAAGGCUGAAUAUAAAUACAGAAUACUAACAGCAAAUUCAUCAUCUGUCGUGAUAAAUGAAAUUAUUGUGACAAAUCAAACUGUUAAUAUAACUAAUCUGACACCUGGGGAGACAUAUACAUUCACUGUAUUUACAAGAGCGGCUGAUAAUGUCACUGAAAGUCAAUCUGUCUCAUAUACAACCUGCACAGGUGAGUACAGACUGAUCUCUUUAGGGGGAGAAUUGUGGAUAUGGUCAUUAUAGCAGGUAAAGAGACUUAAAGUGUAUUGAAAAUAUGGUUUGAGGAUUUUCUCUGUCUUUCUUUUCUAUCCUAUUUUUCCUUUCGAUUUGUGUGAUUUCUAUUCUGAUUUGUUUCAGUUCCGGGUCUGGCUCAGAAUAUCACAGUAAAUAAUAAGAAUACUACUAAUUCACUCAGUGUGAACUGGACAAUACCAGCAGGGAAAGUGGAUAAUUACACCGUCACUCUGAAUGGAGACGUCAAUAAAAUAAUCACAACUAAUUCUACACAAGUGGAUUUCACAGACUUACUGCCAGGCAGAAACUACUCCAUCACUAUACAGACAGUUAGUAGUAACUGCAGCCAGUCAGCAGCUCCAGUGACAGAGGCAACAUGUGAGUAUGAUGGGAUCAUUGGGACAGAGCUAUUUGCUUAUAUGCAAAUCAUACACAUUAAAUAAAAUGUAGUGACACAAAUUAAGAUAUUCUAUCAUCUGUUUUCUGAUAUUAUUGGAUUAUUUUCAGAUGUUGGUUAUAAAAAUCUUUGUAUAAUUUUUUUUCUUCUUCUUUCAUAGAUCCGACCCCUCCAGCGUCCUUAAGCUUUACAAAUAUCGGAACAAAUGCCAUACCAUUGUCCUUGGGAGAACCAGUAAAUAUGACCAAUGUGACAAAGUCUUUCAAUAUAAUUUACAGCAAUUCUUCAUCCUCUUGGACUGUGACAGUAAACACGUUAAAUGUCACCCUUCAGAACCUCACGUCUGGGACUAAUUACACAAUUACUGUAGUAACAGUUGGUGCUCGGCAGUAUCAGAGUUCUCCAGUGACCAUAUCAGCGUUCACAAGUAGGUUUUCACAGUGAUUUUUUUUUUUUGACUGUUAUUUACAUCAAUUAUUUAAUUUUUUUUUUUAUUUAUUAUAUUUUUAUUUGAAUUUUUACUUCAAGUACAAGUAACAUGAAUAAGCAGUUCACAUAUAUCCAUGUAAAAUAACAACAUAAAAAAAACACCUUUAAACAUACUGUGCAAUCUAAUACUUAAGAGGGGCAUGUUUACAUUCUGGAUGAUCGGGGCAGAGUGGUUUAUGCAAUAAAUAUACUUUCUUUUAGACCGAUGAAUAAGCUCUAGAUUGUAUUAAACCAUUUCCAUUCCAUUUUGUCAAGGCUAUGUGGUGCAUAAGCCUUUAUAUAUGUACCACAGGAAUCUCAACCAAAAAUGUACGUCCAGAUGAAUAGAACAGAAACACAUUUACAAGGUGUAUAACCAUAGCAUCGAUCUUACACAAUACAUUUGCCCAGCACCAUAUAGGAUAAUUGUUGCUUCCCUUUUCUCACAGCUGCCAAAAUCAAAAAACAAGAAAAAAGAGAGUUUGGGGUAUUUACAUAGGUCCCAUAUACACAGAAAGCGUGUUAUGAAAACAAGGAAAAUCUAUACAUUGGCUGGCCAUCACAUAAUAAAAGAUAUAAUGUAUGUCUCGUUCAUCCACACUAAGUGACUGCCAUCACAGUGUAUUCAAUGUGCACGCCAGUGUGUAACUAUGGAUAUACUUUCAUGUAGUGCAUGAAGAACCCACUGACCCCCUAAUUUCUUCAGGUACGUGGACUGAAGUAUUGUGGGCAGUGUAUAACCACUCUAAUCGUUCCCCUGUGUAUAUAGCUCCCAAGGGUGCCAAGUCGAGUGGAACAGAUGGUAUUUGCCUAAGUUGGACAUUCUCAGUUCCUCCAUCUUGUGUAUAUUAUCUAUUUUGAGGAACCAGUCUCUCCUUAAGGGUCUGGUCUGGGAUUUCCAAUUCCCCGCUAUUACUGUCUUUGCUGUCGACAGGAGAUAGUACAAGAGUUAACGUUUAAAUUUGUUUUGAGAAAUUGGAAUGUGAAAGAAAAGUAGCGUCUCUGGUUUAAACGCCAGGGGUACUUUGCUAAGUUGUUCAGUUACUCGCGCCACUUCCCGCCAGAAGCCCACUACCCCUCUGCAGUGCCACCAUAUAUGUUGAUAUGUUCCCUAUUCCUUCCCGCAUCUCCAACAAAAGGGAGAGUAUUGUGAAUUAUAUUUGUUGGCAUCUACUGGUGUGAUAUACCAUUUUGUGAGAAAUUUGAAGUUAGUCUCUUGCAAUGGUAUGUUUGGGUGGGUUUUCAGCAUUUUCUUGAGAAUAUGGGACCAGUUGAAGUCAUCUAAUGGAGUAGAGAGCCAACUAUGCGAGGCUUUAGUGUACCAUGGAAGAUUUGCAUUCCCUGAUAAUUGUAGCAUUUGGUAGCAUUUAGAUAUUAUUUUCUUUGAUAUGGGUUUUGUGCAUAUUUUUUUCAAAGGUUGUUUCUUCUCUAGGUGACCAAUUUAGUAACUUCUCUUUACUCAGAAAGUGUUUGAGUUGAUAGUAUUGGAGUGUUUGCAACAUGGUCUGGUUUUUGGAGUCUGAGAGGUCCUUCAGGAGUUUCAACCCUUCGGACCCCAUAACCUCACCUAGUUCUAUGUAUUUCUCUUUCGACGGGAUCGCCCCUGAGGGACCCAGAAUAUAUCCUAAGUCCAUAUGGAAUAAUGGGUUGUGUGAUAUUGGGUAUUUGAUAGGUAUUGUGUUGAGUAAAUAUAAUAUGCGUGGGAGUAUAGUCAUCGUAAUGAUGUUGAUACGUCCCAUCCACCUAAAAUGUGGUUUAUCCCACGCUUCUAAAUCCGACCUUAUUGAGGAAAUCAGGCUUGGGAAGUUGGCUGAGUAUAGUGUGUGGGGAGAAUUAGUUAUCUGUACCCCCAGAUAUUUAAUGGAGGUUGUAGCCCACAUGAAUGGGUAGGAGCUUUGUAGUCUUAUAACUUGGUUUGUAGGGACAUUUAUAUUUAGGAUUUCACAUUUCUCUAUAUUGAUUUUAAAGUUGGUGAGAUCACUAUAUCUGUUUAAAACAUUCAUUAAGGAGGGCAGACUUGUCAUGGGAUUUUCGAUGGUAAAUAGAAAGUCAUCCGCGAAUGCUGAUACUUUAUAUUCCCUAUUCCUUACUUUAAUGCCUCGUAUGUCAGAUCUUCUGCAUACUUCCUGUAAGAGGGGCUCUAGAGUCAAGAUAAAUAAGAGGGGUGAUAGGGGGCAACCUUGGCGGGUACCAUUGCUGAUCUUGAAAGGCCUAGAUAGUUGCCCAUUCACCUUCAACCGCGCAGUUGGAGCUGAAUAGAUUGCCUUGAUCCAUGUGAGCCAUCUAUUCCCAAAGCCCAGAGCUUCUAAAGUGAGUAUAAGGAAUGACCAGUCCACCCUGUCGAAGGCCUUCUCCGCGUCUAUUGAUAACAUGAGAGAAGGUGUCCGGGAUUUAGAGGCUAAAUGUAUCAGGUUGAUAAUUUUGGUAGUGUUGUCUUUUGCUUCUCUUGCUGGGACAAAGCCGGCCUGGUCAGGGUGGACUAGUUCUGUCAGAAACAUAGAAACAUAGAAUGUGACGGCAGAUAAGAACCAUUCGGCCCAUCUAGUCUGCCCAAUUUUCUAAAUACUUUCAUUAGUCCCUAGUCUUAUCUUAUAGUUAGGAUAGCCUUAUGCCUAUCCCACGCAUGCUUAAACUCCUUUACUGUGUUAACCUCUACCACUUCAGCUGGAAGGCUAUUCCAUGCAUCCACUACCCUCUCAGUAAAGUAAUACUUCCUGAUAUUAUUUUUAAACCUUUGUCCCUCUAAUUUAAGACUAUGUCCUCUUGUUGUGGUAGUUUUUCUUCUUUUAAAUAUAGUCUCCUCCUUUACUGUGUUGAUUCCCUUUAUAUAUUUAAAUGUUUCUAUCAUAUCCCCCCUGUCUCGUCUUUCCUCCAAGCUAUACAUGUUAAGAUCCUUUAACCUUUCCUGGUAAGUUUUAUCCCGCAAUCCAUGAACCAGUUUAGUAGCCCUUCUCUGAACCCUCUCUAAGGUAUCAAUAUCCUUCUGAAGAUAGGGUCUCCAGUACUGUGUACAAUACUCCAAGUGAGGUCUCACCAGUGUUCUGUACAUGAGCACUUCCCUCUUUCUACUGCUAAUACCUCUCCCUAUACAACCAAGCAUUCUGCUAGCAUUUCCUGCUGCUCUAUUACAUUGUCUGCCUACCUUUAAGUCAUCAGAAAUAAUCACCCCUAAAUCCCUUUCCUCAUAUGUUGAGGUUAGGACUCUAUCAAAUAUUCUGUACUCUGCCCUUGGGUUUCACGUCCAAGAUGCAUUAUCUUGCACUUAUCCACAUUAAAUGUCAGUUGCCACAAUUCUGACCAUUUUUCUAGUUUACCUAAAUCAUUUGUCAUUUGGCUUAUCCCUCCUGGAACAUCAACCCUGUUACAUAUCUUAGUAUCAUCAGCAAAAAGACAUACCUUACCAUCAAGACCUUCUGCAAUAUCACUAAUAAAAAUAUUAAAGAGAAUGGGUCCAAGUACAGAUCCCUGAGGUACCCCACUGGUGACAAGUCCAAGCUUCGAAUAUAUUCCAUUAACUACAACCCUCUGUUGCCUGUCACUCAGCCACUGCCUUACCCAUUCAACAAUAUUGGAAUCCAAACUUAAAGAUUGCAGUUUAUUGAUAAGCCUUCUAUGUGCAACAGUGUCAAAAGCCUUACUGAAAUCUAGGUAAGCAAUGUCUACUGCACCACCCUGAUCUAUAAUUUUAGUUACCCAAUCAAAAAAAAAAAUCAAUAAGAUUAGUUUGGCAUGAUCUCCCUGAAGUAAACCCAUGUUGUCUCUGAUCUUGAAAUCCAUGUGUUUUUAGAUGUUCAUCAAUCCUAUUCUUUAACAUGGUUUCCAUCACUUUCCCCACUACUGAAGUAAGGCUUACUGGCCUAUAGUUGCCUGACUCCUCCCUAUUACCUUUCUUGUGAAUGGGCACAACAUUAGCUAACUUCCAAUCUUCUGGGACUACUCCUGUUAACAAUGAUUGGUUAAAUAAAUCUGUUAAUGGUUUUGCUAGUACACCACUAAGCUCUUUUUAAUAGCUUUGGGUGUAUUCCAUCAGGUCCCAUUGACUUAUUUGUCUUUACUUUUGACAGUUGAAAUAGAACCUCUUCCUCUGUAAACUCACGUGUAAUAAAUGACUCAUUUAUCUUUUUUCUCAACUGAGGUACCUUUCCUUCAUUUUCAUCUGUAAAUACAGAACAAAAAUAUUAAUUGAGGCAGUCAGCUAGACCUUUAUCCUCUUCUACAUACCUUCCUUCUUUUGUUUUUAAUCUAACUAAUCCUUGUUUUACUUUUCAUUUCUCAUUUAUGUAUCUAAAAAUGUUUUAUCCCCUUUUUUACUGACUGUGCUAUUUUCUCUUCUGUGUGUGAUUUGGAAGCUCUUAUAACUUGCUUAGCCUCUUUCUGCUUAAUCUUAUAGAUCAUUUUGUCUUCCUCACUCUGGGUUUUUUUGUAAUUCCUAAAUGCUAACUUUUUGUUUUUAACUAUUUUGGCCACAUCUGCGGAGUACCACAGUGGUUUCUUGAAUUUUUUGCUUUUACUGACAAACCUAAUGCAAUUUUCUGUUGCCUUCAAUAGUGCAACUUUUAAAUAAUCCCAUUUCUCUUGGACUCCAUUUAAAUUGUUCCAGUCUGAUAAUGACUCCUCUACCCAUAUUCUAAUUUUAGAAAAGUCUGUUUUUCUAAAGUCUAAAACUUUUGUUUUUGGGUGGUGUGACUCAGUCACUGUUCUUAUAUUAAACCACACUGACUGAUGAUCACUGGAUCCUAAACUUUCACCUACAGUAACAUCUGAUACCAAAUCUCAAUUUGUUAACACUAAAUCUAGUAUGGCCUCUUUACGAGUUGGCUCCUCAACAACUUGUUUUAGAGACAAUCCCAGUAGGGAGUUUAGAAUAUGUGUGCUCCUGGCACAAGUAGCUAAUUUUGUUUUCCAAUUUACAUCAGGAAGAUUAAAGUCACCCAUGAUGAUAACUUCCCCUUCAUUGUCAUUUUAGCUAUUUCCUCAACUAGUAGAUUAUCUAACUCUUCAAUUUGUCCUGGGGGCCUAUAAAUCACACCUACACGAGUUACUGUGUGAUUACCAAAUUCUAACGUAGCCAAAACGGACUCUAUGUUUGCCUCACUAGCUUUUAUUAGGCUAGAUUUUAUGCUAUCCUUCACAUACAAGGCCACCCCUCCCCCUUUCUUGCCUUCCCUAUCUUUCCUAUAUAAAGAGUACCCUGGUAUUGCUAUGUCAGUCAUUUUUCUCAUUAUACCAUGUCUCAGUAACAGCGACUAAAUCUACACUAUCAGUUGCCAUUAUUGCCACAAGUUCUUGGAUCUUAUUCCCUAAACUGCGAGCAUUUGUAGACAUGACUCUAAGCUUAUCAUUUUUUAACACACUUGCUACAGGCACCUUCUGUCCUUGUUUUGGGGGACAAUUGGAUUGAUGUUUUAUCACCCUUUUGCCCCCCCCUCCUAGUUUAAAUACAUCCUAGCAAAACCUCUGAACUGCUCACUGAGAACAUUUGUUCCCUUUUGAGAAAGAUGCAAACCAUCUUUUUUGUACAGCUUAUCUCCAUUCCAAACAGAGCUGCCAUGAGAAAUAAAGCCAAAUCCUUGCUCCCGACACCAUUCACCAAGCCACAAAUUAAAGUCCCUAAUACGCAUCCGCCUGUCGUUUUGAGUGUUAUGCACAGGCAGAACUUCAGGGAAUGACAGUGUGGAAGCAACCUGCCAUAUAUCAUUGGCAAAAACACUAAAAACUUCCUUAACCUCUGAAACCUCAUUGCAAGCCAAGUCAUUUGUCCCUAGAUGGAUAAGUACAUCCAAUUCCCCUUCCUGCUUUGCUUGCUUAACAAUAUUACAGAUACGUCUCCUGUCUCUGUGAGCAGUAGCUCCGGGAAGACACCUCACAAGACCACCAUUGUCCAUCUCCACACCUCUUAUAAUGGAAUCCCCCAACAACAACAGCUUUCUAUUAGGCCUCACCAUAGUCUCCAAGUCGGUCUCCACAACACCACUAGUCUGAGUGCCUCUCUCCACAAUACCACUAGCCUCAGUGCCUCUCUCCACAACACCACUAGCCUCAGUGCCUCUCUCCACAACACCACUAGCCUCAGUGCCUCUCUCCAUAACACCACUAGCCUCAGUGCCUCUCUCCACAACACCACUAGCCUCAGUGCCUCUCUCAGGAAGGGCCUCAGCCUAGAUGCCAUCAUUUUGGUGAGAAUCUUGACGUCCACAUUUAUGAGCGAUAUAGGUCUAUAGCUCGCGCACCUCUCUAGGUCUUUCCCUGGUUUAGGCAAAAGGGUUAUGGACACCUCUAGUGUUUGUUGGGGUAUUGUAUGUCCUGAUGGGAUGGAAUUUAUUGCCUCUAGAAAGUGACCCAUUAGUUUCUUUUGGAAUGUCUUAUAAUAUAUGGCUGAAAAUCCAUCUGGGCCUGGGCUUUUGUUAAGGGGGGCUUGUUUAAUGGCCAUCUGUAAUUCAGCCAAGAAGAAUGGCUGGCUCUUCUAGAGAUCUGGUGGCCGCCGCAGGUAGAGUAGUGUCAAAUUUGUCUGCUAGAUAUGACGUGAUUUCCUCGAUUUUGGGGGCCCUGUUCUGUAAGUUGUAUAAGGUGGUGUAGUAUUCUCUGAAGGACUCUGCUAUGUCCUCUGUGGUGGAUGCUAACGUGUUAUUGGCACGUUUUAUCCUAGGAAUGUAAGUCUGAGAUUGCUUUUGUUUCAGAGCUUGAGCAAGUAAUUUGCCACUCCUGUUUCCCUGAGAGUAAUAUAAGUGUUUGGUCCAUAGUAGGGCCUUUUUAGCAUUGUCUAGGAGGAGUGAGUGGAGUUCCUUUCUUAAUGCUAUAAGUGCUCGGAAUAUGGGAUCUGUAGGGUUAUGUUUGUGUGUUUCCUCUGUUGUUCGGAUCUCCCCCAGUAACUCUGCGAUCCGUUUGUGUUUGUUUUUUUGGGUUUGUGCGCCCCAUUUUAUUAGUUCCCCCCGAAUCUUCUCAGUGAUUUAUUUAUGUUUGACACUGCACUGGGUCCAGUUGAGCCAAUGCACCCCCCAGUAUUCUCACACAUAACAUAUCAAUCAUUCACAUGCCUAUAUUUAGCCACUCACGCAACAGUUUUGUCAUACAUUCACAAAUAAACAAGAUACAAAGAUAAACAUACAAGUUUGGUCUUGCUGUUUUAUACAAAAUGCUGAAAUAGACAAGCACACACAGACAUGCACAAACACAAAAAUACAGACACACAAAGAUUACCUAUUCUCACCCACCCCCUUGUUUCCUUCUCAUAUCCCACAUUUUAUCACCCCUUCCUCCCAUCUCUCUCUGUCUUGGUUGCUGUAGUGACAUGGUGCUAUUUGCAUACGAGAAAUAUUGCAUAGCUUCACAGAAGACUCAUCCUACAUUUUCCAUUCACGAGUGUCACCCAUUACUGCUCAUGUCUAGAGUCAGUAUUCCCAGGAAAUGUAUAGCUUGACCACAGCUAUAAAGGCACAACCAUUCUCUUCCCCCUUUAGCAUACAGUUCUAAACCUCAGCAUCAAGGAACAUUCAGAGCAUCAAAACAACUUAAAUGCAUCUCGUAUCAUCUGGCAUUAAUAGUGUUGUGUAUUUUUUGCAUGUGCAAAUGUGUACAGUUUUUGCAGAAAAACGGAAAUAUUUUGUAUCAUUCUGCACUGUUAGAAAACAGGUUGCGCCAAAUAACUACACAGUACUGGUAUUGCUAAGGAAUACAGUUGUAUGCAAGUAGUAGUAACUGGAAUCUAUAAUUACAAAGAAUGCCCUCGAAAAACCAUAAGAAAGUCAAACAAGGAACCGUCUGUAGGUUUGAUUGUAUCUGCUUCUGACAAUAUAAUCCUUGUCACAGGGUAUUAGGUGAAGAAUCAGAACAAGGUCUUUGUAGCGACACUGGUACGUCUUACAUUAUCUUCACAGCAUACGCAUCUCACAUGGAAUACAUAAAAAGGGGAUCUCAAUAGAACAAACCCAGUGUGUAUAUAAAAAGAGAAUAAAAUGCACUCACAAACAAAGAGCUUCCAAUUCAGCUCUUAGUAAGAUCUUAAAGUUGAAUAAUCCCUGCUCACGGAUAUAAUUUGUAAAGGAUGUUCCUCUGUAUUUUCCAAGGGUAUAUAGUAAAAGAUAGAAAUAAGGAGAAUAGUGCUCUCUGUAUUGGAAGAUAAAAUAUGUAAGUAAAAUAAAUUGUACUCACAUUUAAAGGAGCAUAUACAUGCUUGUUGGAAUCAGCGUGGGUGGUACAAUCCCCACCUGGAAUAUGUAAGUUGAUCAAAUGCAGCACUGUCAGCAGGUAUUUUUCAAAAAUUAUAAAAUAAUGAAGGAUAAAAUUAAAUAAAAAGUAGGACCAGAUAAAAUUAAAUAUGUUGAAUGGUAAAAUUCACUUUAAUGAAAAUUUUAAAUUACAUUGUUGUUUUUUUAAAUAAAAAUUUUUUUACCAAACAAAUAUUAAACGAUAAAUGCAUUAAAUACUUAACAAAUGGUUAAAAUCACAACACAUUUGGCAGAGAUGGCUUUUUUAAGUGACAAAGCUAUCUGGGCGAAACGCGUCGUGAUUUUAGCAGAUUGUUAAGUUUUUUUGUUUUAAUUCAAAAAAAAUAUUUAAAAAUAAUAAUUUCAUUUUAAAUUUUAAUUAAAGUGGAUUUUACCAUUCAAUAUUCAGUUUGGCUGGCUAUUCUGGUUUAAGAUUUGAAAGUUACUUUGAAUUCCCCAAAGAUCUGUGCAGGUUUAGAGUAUUAAACAGUGUUUCACUUUGAGAUGAAUACCGAUAGCUGAAUUGCCGUUACGCCCAACUGCAGGCCCUGUCUGCAAGAUAGAAGCUCAAUUCGCCAGUUGCCAGCAUGCAAUGCUGUCUGUCGACAGACGUAUUUUAUGCACAAUAUUGACAUUAGGCAGCCCGGGUUUAACUAGCACUAAAGUACGGAGAUCUCAGUAUGUGCAGUGCUGCAGAAAUGCUGCACAUACACACUCCUACAACCAUGACCACUUCAAAUCACUAAAAUACUAAGGGUGGCUGGGCUUUUAUUGUUGGUCUUUUUAAUCUAUUGUACAGUGCUGCAGAAUAUGUUGGCGCUAUAUAAAUAAUUGUAAUUGUCAUGAACUUAGCUAUAACUUGAAAGAAAAUCAUGUUUUAUUUUCUCGCUCUAGAACCAAACACAGUGAAACUCCUCAGAGACAAUGGCAAAACAUCAUAUUCUGUUUCCCUGAUUUGGGAUCCACCUGACGAGUACAAGGCUGAAUAUAAAUACAGAAUACUAACAGCAAAUUCAUCAUCUGUCGUGAUAAAUGAAAUUAUUGUGACAAAUCAAACUGUUAAUAUAACUAAUCUGACACCCGGAGUAACAUAUACAUUCACUGUAUUUACAAGAGCGGCUGAUAAUGUCACUGAAAGUCAAUCUGUCUCAUAUACAACCUGCACAGGUGAGUACAGACUGACCUCUCUAGGGGGAGAAUUGUGGAUAUGGUCAUUAUAGCAGGUAAAGGGGACUUCAAGUGUAUUGAAAAUAUGGUUUGAGGAUUUUCUCUCUCUUUCUUUUCUAUCCUAUUUUUCCUUUCGAUUUGUGUGAUUUCUAUUCUGAUUUUUUUCAGUUCCGGGUCUGGCUCAGAAUAUCACAGUAAAUAAUAAGAAUACUACUAAUUCACUCAGUGUGAACUGGACAAUACCAGCAGGGAAAGUGGAUAAUUACACAGUCACUCUGAGUGGAGACGUCAAUAAAAUAAUCACAACUAAUUCUACACAAGUGGAUUUCACAGAUUUACUGCCAGGCAGAAACUACUCCAUCACUAUACAGACAGUUAGUAGUAACUGCAGCCAGUCAGCAGCUCCAGUGAUAGAGGCAACAU